RNAcentral lists this ribosomal RNA (906 nucleotides) under Enterococcus faecium. RNAcentral's name for it is "bacterial SSU rRNA". It matches the Rfam family "Bacterial small subunit ribosomal RNA", at positions 38 to 920 of the family's 1533-position model. The record is from RNAcentral. Lineage: Bacteria; Bacillati; Bacillota; Bacilli; Lactobacillales; Enterococcaceae.
AUCGGCAGCUAUACAUGCAAGUCGUACGCUUCUUUUUCCACCGGAGCUUGCUCCACCGGAAAAAGAAGAGUGGCGAACGGGUGAGUAACACGUGGGUAACCUGCCCAUCAGAAGGGGAUAACACUUGGAAACAGGUGCUAAUACCGUAUAACAAUCGAAACCGCAUGGUUUUGAUUUGAAAGGCGCUUUCGGGUGUCGCUGAUGGAUGGACCCGCGGUGCAUUAGCUAGUUGGUGAGGUAACGGCUCACCAAGGCCACGAUGCAUAGCCGACCUGAGAGGGUGAUCGGCCACAUUGGGACUGAGACACGGCCCAAACUCCUACGGGAGGCAGCAGUAGGGAAUCUUCGGCAAUGGACGAAAGUCUGACCGAGCAACGCCGCGUGAGUGAAGAAGGUUUUCGGAUCGUAAAACUCUGUUGUUAGAGAAGAACAAGGAUGAGAGUAACUGUUCAUCCCUUGACGGUAUCUAACCAGAAAGCCACGGCUAACUACGUGCCAGCAGCCGCGGUAAUACGUAGGUGGCAAGCGUUGUCCGGAUUUAUUGGGCGUAAAGCGAGCGCAGGCGGUUUCUUAAGUCUGAUGUGAAAGCCCCCGGCUCAACCGGGGAGGGUCAUUGGAAACUGGGAGACUUGAGUGCAGAAGAGGAGAGUGGAAUUCCAUGUGUAGCGGUGAAAUGCGUAGAUAUAUGGAGGAACACCAGUGGCGAAGGCGGCUCUCUGGUCUGUAACUGACGCUGAGGCUCGAAAGCGUGGGGAGCAAACAGGAUUAGAUACCCUGGUAGUCCACGCCGUAAACGAUGAGUGCUAAGUGUUGGAGGGUUUCCGCCCUUUCAGUGCUGCAGCUAACGCAUUAAGCACUCCGCCUGGGGAGUACGACCCGCAAGGUUGAACCGAAAGUGCGGGGGGA